UCCUGGGUCUUUCUUCGUACUUUAAUUUAGUGAAAGUUGUAAUAACAACCGGAUAGAUAGAGACUGAUAUCACUACAAGAAUAAUGCCUAGUCUCCGACAGCCAUAGUUUCUCCGUAAUGAGUAUCUCCUACUACAUUCCGACAAUCAAAUUUUAGUCGGAGUUUGGGUCUCGGAAAUCUCAGUUUCUCCGAAAUUAGUCGGAACUCUGUAUCGAAAAUAUACCCGAACAUUCCAAUGAACUUCAGGAAUACAAUCCCACUAAUUUUCCAAUUUUCCAUAUAAACAAAUUAACCAUAAAAAUCCUAUAUAAAUAAAAAAAAGAAAUAAAAAUAAACUAUAUUUACUAUUGGUCGGUGUAAGUUGCAACGGUGGUGAGGGUAUCGGAUGCUAUCUCUUCGACAGCGUAGGUGUAGGGUGGAGUGAGCGGAAACGGCGGGGGAGUAAUUGCAGCGAGGGUUGUGGAAGUGCGGUGGUGGCGGUGCAAGGAGUUGCAAAGUUGGCGAUGAGAGAAGUUGCGAUUGUGACGGUGGCAGUGAAAAGGUUGCGGUAGUGACGGCAGUCGUGCAAAGAGGUGAGUGGUGGUGAUGUUUUGAGCGAUUCACAGAUCUUACUUAGCUAAAAAAAAUACAUAUCUGAAAGAGGCAUAAAGAAAGAGAGAAGGGGAAGAACGAAAGAGGAAAAAGAAAAAGAAAGAAUAAAUGAAGGAUGCAAAAUUAGGAAAUGAGGAGAAGAAAAGGAAAAACAAUGACCUGCUCUUCGAUUCGAAAAAGAUUAGCUCUUUGCAGAGAUAUGUGGAAGAGAAGAUAAGAGGAUUUUUUUUGUUUUGAACACA
This 833-nucleotide long non-coding RNA is filed under the name Brassica napus (rape). RNAcentral describes it as "long non-coding RNA (BNAP_LNC003175)". The record is from RNAcentral. Lineage: Eukaryota; Viridiplantae; Streptophyta; Magnoliopsida; Brassicales; Brassicaceae.